Molecule: ribosomal RNA, 498 nt
Filed under: uncultured bacterium
Lineage: Bacteria
Description: partial 16S ribosomal RNA
Rfam family: Bacterial small subunit ribosomal RNA
Source: RNAcentral
AUUGAACGCUGGCGGCAUGCUUUACACAUGCAAGUCGAACGGUAACAGGCCGCAAGGUGCUGACGAGUGGCGAACGGGUGAGUAAUGCAUCGGAACGUGCCCAGUCGUGGGGGAUAACGUAGCGAAAGUUACGCUAAUACCGCAUACGAUCUAUGGAUGAAAGCGGGGGAUCGCAAGACCUCGCGCGAUUGGAGCGGCCGAUAUCAGAUUAGGUUGUUGGUGGGGUAAAAGCCCACCAAGCCGACGAUCAGUAGCUGGUCUGAGAGGACGACCAGCAACACUGGGACUGAGAGACGACCCAGAGUCCGACGGGAGGCAGCAGUGGGGAAUUUUGGACAGUGGGCGCAAGCCUGAUCCAGCCAUGCCGCGUGUGGGAAGAAGGCCUUCGGGCUGUAAACCACUUUUGUCAGGGAAGAAACGGCUUUUUCUAAUAAAGAGAGCUAAUGACGGUACCUGAAGAAUAAGCACCGGCUAACUACGUGCCAGCCGCCGCCGUAA